UUAUGAACUCUGUUUCCACCCCUUCACUUCCCUUCACCCUUGUAACCGAGCUGACAUUGGAACCGAGCGAUAAAACGCAUGUUUUUUCUGUGUCUCCAGCAGAAGUGUAUGGACAGAAGCGCGAUACAGCGGCGCGUUCUGGACAUGUUUUUAUACUCUGUACUGUGUCUCGGGCACGCGCUCUGUCAGAGGCUGAUUUGGAAAGUGUACUCACCACGAGACAUGUCGUAGCUCCAGAAUACGACAAGCAGGGAUUCCUCAUUAAGCUUGAUGGAAAACUGCCCCUUGAGCUCCAGUAUAAAUAUGGAAAUCUCAGUAAAGGCGAGUGUAAACCAGGCUACGCAGAAGCCAAGAUGACAUCAAUCUAUCCAAAAUUUUCAAAACCAGCCCCCAUGUUCCUCGAUCCAAAUUUUAAACGGCUGUCAAGGAUCAGCAGUUACCCACCUCCCUUUGGAGUGAGAACACAAGAAAAGAUCAUCGAUACUAUUUUAGCAGCUACAAAGAGAUAUUCACUGGGCCCUGAACUGGACAGAAUGAGUUGUAAAAGGUGUAUUAUUAUUGGCAAUGGAGGCAUUUUGUUCAACAAGUCCUUGGGGUCCAACAUUGAUGGAUAUGAUGUUGUUGUACGACUGAAUGAGGCUCCAGUCAGUGGGUUUGAGAAGGACGUGGGCUCAAAGACGACCAUGCGUAUCACAUACCCUGAAGGAGCCAUCCAGAAACCAGAGCGCUACGAGAAGGACUCGCUUUUUGUCCUCUCUGCCUUCAAACUGAUGGACUUCAAAUGGCUCCAUCACAUGGUGUUCAAGGAGAGACUGUGGAGUAUGGAGGGCUUCUGGAAGUCUGUGGCGCAUAUCAUUCCUAGAGAACCCAAGGACAUGCGUAUCCUCAAUCCGUAUUUCAUUCAAGAAGCAGCCUUCAGAUUAAUCGGCCUUCCACACAACAAAGGUCUCAUGGGCAGAGGGAAUAUUCCUACAUUGGGGACCGUUGCGAUCACGAUGGCCCUUCAUAACUGUGAUGAGGUGGCAGUGGCUGGGUUUGGAUAUGACAUGAAUUCGCCUAAUGCUCCUCUACACUAUUAUGAGAAACUCAAGAUGUCUGCAAUCAAAGAGCAUCCUUGCAUUCUUUCCUCGUGUCUUAUGAGGGAGAAGUUGAGAAAAAUAAAGAAAAAAUAAGGAUACACAAUUAAAGAUAUGAGAAGCACCCCGUGAUGGAGUGAUAUUGAAUAAACAUGGAUCUGUAGUCGACUGUGUGAUCACCUGGAAAUGACCAACCUGCGGCGUACAUUCUUUCAGUUAUAUCAGAUGCAUUGAUUCAGCAAAUGAGUGUGGGAGCAGUUCGUCCGGUACCUCCAGCUUAGAGGUCUGCAACCCGACCUGGGCCCGACGGGACCCGAGAAACCAAUGGGGUUCGGGUUUCAUUUUAAGGCCCGUGCAGACCCCUACUCCAGCUACAACUUCUUUUUUAAACUGUUAUUACUAUUUUGAUGAAAAUAAAUAAAACUGUAGAAACUAUGUGAAAGUUGUUUUUAUUUAUAUAAUUGUUUUUCACCAAUUUUCUUAAAUCUUUGUUGAUAUUUCAACAGAAGUGAUGUAGAAUCAACAUCAGAUUCUAACAUUGAUUCAAUGAUGUUAAUAGAUUUUUUGGUUGAGAUUUUCAUGUUGUUUCAACAUUAAAGAGCACUUAUAAUGGUUUUUAAAUACGCCUAAUUUUGUUUUAAAGGUCUCAUACAAUAGAUUUACAUGCAUCCAAGGUUAAAAAACACUUUAAUUUGCUCAUAAUUUAAAUUGCAGCAUUACCUAUUUUCCCAGUGUCAGAAACAACUCGUUCAAUGAUCUCCUUUCAGAGAGCCUACUCUGCUCUGAUUGGUCAGAUGUUCCAGUCUGUUGUGAUUGGUCUACCGCUUAGUGUAGUGUUUGAGGGCGGGUCAAAGCUGUUCGCAAGCAGCCAGUGAAGACCAGAGGCGGGUUUUUUGUUACCAAAUUAAGUAGGUUAAGUAGGUACAGAGGGGUCACGUGACACCAUGCAAGGAGCAGACGUGUAAGCGACGAGCUCUGCGCACUUUGCUAAACUUUUUAUUUUCAUGUUAUAAUCUGGUGAAUUUUGAUACACCCAGUUACAAAUUUUUUCUUUGAUGCAAAACAUGGCAAAGAAGUCAAAAUCCUCGGGCUCUGGAGACAUUAAAAGACAUUUACGUGUUCAGGAUGAAAGCCCCGACAGGCCUACAGACCGGGGACUCGAUUUGGAUGGCGCGGUGGGAGAGGUGAUCCAGCGUCAGUUGUCCAACAUGUCGGUGAUGUUGACGAAGGUUCUUGCUGACUUGGAGGAUCUCGCUGUAAUAUGUCGAUCGAUUACGGCGAUGGAAAUAAAAUUCUCUGAACUAGUUACAAGAGUGUCAGAUGUUGAGAGAUGAAUCGAUUUUCUGGAAUCUUCGGAGAGGGAAUUAACCGCUAAUCCGCCCGCGACCAAAGUUGAUUUGGAACAUGUCCUUGAAAAGCUUGAAGAUCUUGAGAAUAGAAGCCGCAGGGAUAACGUUCGAAUUGUUGGAAUUCCUGAGCAUGAGGUGGGCAGAGAUAUGGUGAAAUUCAUAGACGACCUCUUCCCGAGUCUGCUCGACAUAACAGGCCACAAGCUGGAAAUCGAGCGAGCUCACAGAGACCCAGCUCACAGAUCUGCUGAGGAAGACAGGCCCCGAUCGAUUCUGGCCAGAUUUCUGAGAUCAUCCGAUAAAGAUCUUGUGUUGCGCCAAGCGAGGACCAAAGGGGAGCUUUCUUGGAAGAACCAUAAUAUUUUCUUGUUCCCGGACUUUGCGAGUUCAACAAGAGAGAAACGCGAUCGGUUCAAGGAAUAUAAGAAACUCUUACAUCGGCGAUAGAUUACUUUUGCUCUGAUGUUUCCGGCCAAAUUGAAAAUAGAAACGAAGGUCGGUCGCAAAGUAUUUACUUGUCCCAAUCAGGCAAUGUCUUUUAUAGAAUCAGUGGGUGAGUAAACCAUUGGAUGUUUCUCAUCUCGCUGUAAUUACUCUUAAGGAAGCUGGGUGUCAUUUUGGUUUCUUUUUUCUUUUUGAGUCGGCUCUGCCUAGUGGCUGGAGCUUGUUUUUUGAAUAACACUUUUCCUUAAAGAAACGUUUGCAUUGACGAAAGGUUACAUUUGCAUUGAAGUUCCCGGCCAGUUUGAGAGUGGACACUGUGGAUGACCGCAAAAUAUCUACAUGCUCACACAAAGGAUGUCUUUUAUAAAGUUGACGGAUUGUGUAAGUCAUGGUAUAUAUAUGUUUAUGCGGCUUCCGAGUGAAUUGACUCGACCAUCCGGGGAACCGGGAUGCUGGUUUUGUUUCUUUUUGUAUUGAUUCCGCCUAGCGGCUGGAGCUUGUUCUAUUGAAUAACACUCCUUUGGAACAGCUGUGGAUUAAUCUGUUCAUUCUUCGUGCUUAUUCCUCCUGCUGGCUGGAGUUUGUUUUGUUGAGUUUUUUUAUGGGACAUUGGAAUGAUUAUGUCAUCCGCUGAACUUAUAACAGCCGGCUCACUGAACAUUCGUUUGUCUGUCCGAGGAAUCUGAACGGUUUUAUAUCAGCUGGAAUUUGUUUUGUGGAAGAUCACACCUUUGAGACAGUUCUGUGAAUAUAUACACAUUCUUUGUGUUCAUUCUUCGUACUGGCUGGGUUUAUUUGACCAAGUAUUUUCUGUUAUUUAAUUUUGCCUCACAAAUUUGUGAGGCAAAAUUGAGCAAUCCGACGGCAAAGUUGUCGUGGGGACUCGUGGGCGUUCAUGGACCUUUUGAAUUUAGAGGGAUUGUCGCUGGUUGGCGCUUUCGUGCGCGGGGUUAAUGCGCACGUUUUUCUUUUUUCUGUUUGUUUUGUUCAGGGGAAAGUUCGGUGGUUGAUUGUUUCACUAAUGGGGAAUGUGGUCUGUAUAAUUUAGUUUUUGACACAGUUUUUUUUUUUUUAUUAUAUCAAUAUGUCAGUUGUUAAUAAGAGUGUACUAUCUCUCUCCACAUGGACAUGUUUUUUUUAGUGCUGGCUCAAGUAAGAGCAAGGGAGUCAUUAUAUUGGUAAAUAAACAUCUACAAUUCAAAUGUCUCAAACAGACUAAAGAUAAAUUAGGGAGAGUUGUUAUUGUUUUAGCAGAAAUUCAGGGGCAAAGGUUGAUUUUGGCUAAUAUUUACGCACCUAACGCUGAUGAUCAGGGCUUUUUUAUAGAUCUUGAAGGGAUGUUGCAAACCACUGGCACCCCUCAUGAUAUAAUAUUGGGAGGAGACUUUAAUCUUUUGAUGGACUCAGUCCUUGAUCAUAGUGAAGCAAAAGUGUGUAAGCCCCCUAGAGCAAUAUUGAUGCUUCACAGGAUGUGUAAAAAUCUUGGUCUUUCAGAUAUUUGGAGACUUUUGAACCCAUCUGGUAGGGAUUAUAAUUUUUUUUAAUCAGUCCAUAAGAUUUAUUCUAGAAUAGAUUUUUUUUUUAUAUCCAAAUCCCUCAUUUCAUCUGUUGUUGAUUGCUCAAUUGGAAAUAUCUUAGUUUCAGAUCACGCCCUGGUGAGUUUAGAGGUGAUGCCAUAUACAGAGAAAAAGAAAUCAUAUAGUUGGUGCCUUAAUGUGUCCCUUUUGCAAAGUCCUGAUUUCCAACAAAUGUUAAAGACUGAAAUCAAUGUUUAUAUGGAGACCAACUGGUCCUCAGUACCCUCUGUGGGCAUGGCUUGGGAGGCACUUAAGGCGGUUCUUAGGGGUCGGAUCA
RNA transcript from Myxocyprinus asiaticus (Chinese sucker), 4723 nucleotides. It is a transcript of the gene named CMP-N-acetylneuraminate-beta-1,4-galactoside alpha-2,3-sialyltransferase-like, with no coding region annotated. Lineage: Eukaryota; Metazoa; Chordata; Actinopteri; Cypriniformes; Catostomidae. The record is from RefSeq and is a predicted model, not a curated record. The transcript has 12 exons.